RNAcentral lists this ribosomal RNA (246 nucleotides) under uncultured Streptococcus sp. RNAcentral's name for it is "partial 16S ribosomal RNA". It matches the Rfam family "Bacterial small subunit ribosomal RNA", at positions 1137 to 1382 of the family's 1533-position model. The record is from RNAcentral. Lineage: Bacteria; Bacillati; Bacillota; Bacilli; Lactobacillales; Streptococcaceae.
ACUCUAGCGAGACUGCCGGUAAUAACCGGAGGAAGGUGGGGAUGACGUCAAAUCAUCAUGCCCCUUAUGACCUGGGCUACACACGUGCUACAAUGGUUGGUACAACGAGUUGCGAGUCGGUGACGGCGAGCUAAUCUCUUAAAGCCAAUCUCAGUUCGGAUUGUAGGCUGCAACUCGCCUACAUGAAGUCGGAAUCGCUAGUAAUCGCGGAUCAGCACGCCGCGGUGAAUACGGUUCCCGGGCCUU